Glossina fuscipes is the source of this 827-nucleotide long non-coding RNA. RefSeq lists it as uncharacterized. Lineage: Eukaryota; Metazoa; Arthropoda; Insecta; Diptera; Glossinidae. The transcript is spliced from 3 exons. The record is from RefSeq and is a predicted model, not a curated record.
UUCUUAACACUUCAUUUAAUUCCUACAAUUGUAUUAUUUUGAUUUGGUUACAUUAUUAUAUUAUACACUCGGCAAUAGGUACUCUUAAAGUUAUCCUUAUGUUUCAUGUAAAUUAAAUCAAGCUAAUUUUAUCACGAAUAGCAUUCAUACGAAAUAUUUUUUUUAGUUAAUUGCUGUUUUGAUUUAUUUAUUUUUAAUUUAUUGACAUUUUUUUACCUAUUACGGAGUGCGCAUUGUUUAGAGCUACGAGAGAACUAGCGAUACAUAAGAAGUAACCAUUUAACUAUGGCCACAAAAAUUCUAUAGAUCUUACUUUUUGAAAAAGAGUAUCCCGUACCUCAUCACAGAUUGCGGCAAUAACACCUAAAAAUUUGUAAAAAAAAAGUAAAUGCAUUAAAAGUUUGAGGAUUUUGUUUGGUUCUACUACAUAUACACCGAAAGAAGCGUACACAAUACACAUACCAACAGAGGCAAUUUCAAGUAACCACUCCCAUGAACAAAAUGCCAUGGCUAUCGGCAAUUUAAACUAAACGUUACUUUCGUUGCUAACUCAUCCGGAUCUUUAUACAAUCUUUUCGUCUAACCUAAAUCCUACUAAUAUGUAUUUAGAACUGGAAAUUUCGAAACAAAUAAUAGAUUUAAAGACGAUCUCAAAUGCAAAGGUUGAUAUGAUUCCUAAGGAGUUUUGUACGUUGCCUCCAAGCUGUAAAGAUGUACAGAUUCAUUUAUUACAUAAAGGCAAUACAAGUUUGACGAGUUAAGAUUGCUGCAAAGACUUACAAGUAUAUAAGCAUUUCAUGGAUUUACACUUGGAAGACAACGCGGCU